RNAcentral lists this ribosomal RNA (254 nucleotides) under uncultured bacterium. RNAcentral's name for it is "partial 16S ribosomal RNA". It matches the Rfam family "Bacterial small subunit ribosomal RNA", at positions 524 to 776 of the family's 1533-position model. The record is from RNAcentral.
UACGAAGGGGGCUAGCGUUGCUCGGAAUCACUGGGCGUAAAGCGCACGUAGGCGGCUUUUAAGUCAGGGGUGAAAUCCUGGAGCUCAACUCCAGAACUGCCUUUGAUACUGGAAGUCUUGAGACCGGAAGAGGUAAGUGGAACUGCGAGUGUAGAGGUGAAAUUCGUAGAUAUUCGCAAGAACACCAGUGGCGAAGGCGGCUUACUGGUCCGGUUCUGGACGCUGAGGCACGGAAAGCGUGGGGAGCAAACAGG